This 533-nucleotide ribosomal RNA is filed under the name Echinodera roudieri. Its description in RNAcentral is "eukaryotic LSU rRNA". It matches the Rfam family "Eukaryotic large subunit ribosomal RNA", at positions 1340 to 1646 of the family's 3401-position model. The record is from RNAcentral. Lineage: Eukaryota; Metazoa; Arthropoda; Insecta; Coleoptera; Curculionidae.
GCUUAUACUCGACCGUCAGCGGCAGGUGCGAUCGCGCGAGCUUUCACGAGCGAGCGCGGUCACGAAGCCCUGACGAGUAGGAGGGUCGCGGCGGUGAGCGCAGAAGGGCUGGCCGCGAGGCCGUCUGGAGCCGCCGUCGGUGCAGAUCUUGGUGGUAGUAGCAAAUACUCCAGCGAGGCCCUGGAGGACUGACGUGGAGAAGGGUUUCGUGUGAACAGCCGUUGCACACGAGUCAGUCGAUCCUAAGCCCUAGGCGAAAGCCGAUGUCGAUGCGGUGUAGUUUUUACGAUAAACAAUGUUUGUAUACACACACACACACACAAAAUUCGAGUUCGACUACGACUAACUACUGCGACGAUUACGACGACGAAACAAACGUUAAUUCGUCGUCGUUUAACGUCUAGUUUAGUCUAGUCUCGUCGAAUCAUCGUCGUCGUCGUCGUGUAUGUAACACAGAUAACGAAAGAGCACACACCCGUCGGGCGAAAGGGAAUCCGGUUCCUAUUCCGGAACCUGGCAGCGGAACCGUCAAA